GGAAACUCACCAGGUCCAGACACGACAAGGAUUGACAGAUUGAUAGCUCUUUCUUGAUUUCGUGGUUGGUGGUGCAUGGCCGUUCUUAGUUGGUGGAGUGAUUUGUCUGGUUAAUUCCGAUAACGAACGAGACCUUAACCUGCUAAAUAGCCGACUUUGGUUGGUCGCUGGCUUCUUAGAGGGACUAUCGACGUCUAGUCGAUGGAAGUUUGAGGCAAUAACAGGUCUGUGAUGCCCUUAGAUGUUCUGGGCCGCACGCGCGCUACACUGACCGAACCAGCGAGUUUAUUUCCUUGGCCGGAAGGCCUGGGUAAUCUUGUGAAAUUCGGUCGUGAUGGGGAUAGAGCAUUGCAAUUAUUGCUCUUCAACGAGGAAUACCUAGUAAGCGUGAGUCAUCAGCUCGCGUUGAAUUCGUCCCUGCCCUUUGUACACACCGCCCGUCGCUACUACCGAUUGAAUGGCUUAGUGAGGCCUUCGGGUUGGCUUCUGGGAGCCGGCAACGGCACCUAGUCGCUGAGAAGUUUGACGAACUUGGUCAUUUAGAGGAAGUAA
This 552-nucleotide ribosomal RNA is filed under the name uncultured eukaryote. Its description in RNAcentral is "SSU rRNA". It matches the Rfam family "Eukaryotic small subunit ribosomal RNA", at positions 1209 to 1785 of the family's 1831-position model. The record is from RNAcentral.